This 275-nucleotide long non-coding RNA is filed under the name Elaeis guineensis (African oil palm). RNAcentral describes it as "long non-coding RNA (EGUI_LNC031747)". The record is from RNAcentral. Lineage: Eukaryota; Viridiplantae; Streptophyta; Magnoliopsida; Arecales; Arecaceae.
UGGCUUGGUUCUGGGUGGCCUUCACUUCAAUUUUUUCACUUUGGCCUUUUCAGAUUUGCCUUAAGAUCAAUCUUUAGGAGCUUGACCCUUAGGAGCUCGGCUUAUUAGAGCUUGGCCUUCUUAGGUUGGCCUCCUUAGUUUGGCUUUCUCAUAUUGGUUUUUUCAAGUUGGCCUCACCAGAUUGGCUUUCUCAGGUCAGUCUCCUCAGGUUGGCUUUCUUAGAUCAAUCUUCUCAAGUCAACCUUUCACCUCCAACUUCUUAGCUUAGCCUUCUC